Molecule: ribosomal RNA, 253 nt
Filed under: uncultured bacterium
Lineage: Bacteria
Description: partial 16S ribosomal RNA
Rfam family: Bacterial small subunit ribosomal RNA
Source: RNAcentral
UACGAAGGGGGCUAGCGUUGCUCGGAAUUACUGGGCGUAAAGCGCGCGCAGGCGGUUCUUCAAGUCAGAGGUGAAAGCCCAGAGCUCAACUCUGGAACGGCCUUUGAGACUAGAGAACUUGGGUACGGGAGAGGUGAGUGGAAUUCCGAGUGUAGAGGUGAAAUUCGUAGAUAUUCGGAAGAACACCAGUGGCGAAGGCGGCUCACUGGCCCGUUACCGACGCUCAGGCGCGACAGCGUGGGGAGCAAACAGG